Molecule: ribosomal RNA, 72 nt
Filed under: Dendrobium huoshanense
Lineage: Eukaryota; Viridiplantae; Streptophyta; Magnoliopsida; Asparagales; Orchidaceae
Description: partial 26S ribosomal RNA
Rfam family: Eukaryotic large subunit ribosomal RNA
Source: RNAcentral
GUGACCCCAGGAUGGGCGAGGCCACCCGCUGAGUUUAAGCAUAUCAAUAAGCGGAGGAAAAAAAACCUUACA